CAAAGAGUAGUUUAAGUUAAAAUACUGGUUUUGGGGGCUAGAGAUAGAGAGUCUCUCUUUGA
Molecule: transfer RNA, 62 nt
Filed under: Pseudoleptodeira latifasciata
Lineage: Eukaryota; Metazoa; Chordata; Lepidosauria; Squamata; Dipsadidae
Description: tRNA-Pro
Source: RNAcentral